Molecule: ribosomal RNA, 492 nt
Filed under: uncultured bacterium
Lineage: Bacteria
Description: partial 16S ribosomal RNA
Rfam family: Bacterial small subunit ribosomal RNA
Source: RNAcentral
AGUGAACGCUGGCGGUAGGCCUAACACAUGCAAGUCGAACGACCGCACAGUAAGAGCUUGCUCUUACGGGUGGCGAGUGGCGGACGGGUGAGAAAUACAUCGGAAUCUACUUUUUCGUGGGGGAUAACGUAGGGAAGCUUACGCUAAUACCGCAUACGACCUACGGGUGAAAUCAGGGGAUCUUCGGACCUUUCGCGAUUGAAUGAGCCGAUGUCGGAUUAGCUAGUUGGCGGGGUAAAGGCCCACCAAGGCAACGAUCCGUAGCUGGUCUGAGAGGAUGAUCAGCCACACUGGAACUGAGACACGGUCCAGACUCCUACGGGAGGCAGCAGUGGGGAAUAUUGGACAAUGGGCGCAAGCCUGAUCCAGCAAUACCGCGUGGGUGAAGAAGGUCUUCGGGUUGUAAAGCCCUUUUGUUGGGAAAGAAAAGCAGCAGGUUAAUACCCCGCUGUUCUGACGGUACCCAAAGAAUAAGCACCGGCUAACUUCGUG